RNAcentral lists this ribosomal RNA (441 nucleotides) under uncultured bacterium. Its description in RNAcentral is "bacterial SSU rRNA". It matches the Rfam family "Bacterial small subunit ribosomal RNA", at positions 339 to 796 of the family's 1533-position model. The record is from RNAcentral.
CUACGGGAGGCAGCAGUAGGGAAUAUUGCUUAAUGGGCGCAAGCCUGAAGCAGCAACGCCGCGUGUGCGAUGAAGGCCUUCGGGUCGUAAAGCACUUUUUGGAGGGAUGAGGAAGGACAGUACCUCCAGAAUAAGCCUCGGCUAACUACGUGCCAGCAGCCGCGGUAACACGUAGGAGGCAAGCGUUAUUCGGAUUUACUGGGCGUAAAGCGCAUGUAGGCGGAUCGGAAAGUUGGAUGUGAAAGCUCCCGGCCAAACUGGGAGAGGUCGUUCAAAACUACCGGUCUAGAGGAUGGGAGAGGGAGGUGGAAUUCCGGGUGUAGUGGUGAAAUGCGUAGAUAUCCGGAGGAACACCAGAGGCGAAAGCGGCCUCCUGGCCCGUACCUGACGCUCAGAUGCGAAAGCUAGGGGAGCAAACGGGAUUAGAAACCCUAGUAGUCC